CCUACGGGAGGCAGCAGUAGGGAAUAUUGGACAAUGGGCGAAAGCCUGAUCCAGCAACGCCGCGUGCGCGAUGAAGGCCUUCGGGUUGUAAAGCGCUUUUCGGGGGGAUGAGGAAGGACAGUACCCCCGGAAUAAGUCUCGGCUAACUACGUGCCAGCAGCCGCGGUAAAACGUAGGAGGCAAGCGUUAUCCGGAUUUACUGGGCGUAAAGCGCGUGCAGGCGGUUCGGUAAGUCGGACGUGAAAGCUCCUGGCUCAACUGGGAGAGGCCGUUCGAUACUACCGAACUAGAGGGCAGGAGAGGGAGGUGGAAUUCCGGGUGUAGCGGUGAAAUGCGUAGAUAUCCGGAGGAACACCAGUGGCGAAGGCGGCCUCCUAGUCUGCCCCUGACGCUCAGACGCGAAAGCUAGGGGAGCGAACGGGAUUAGAAACCCCGGUAGUCCUAGCUGUAAACGAUGCGGACUUGGUGUGGGUGGCUUAAACUCCAUCCGUGCCGUAGCUAACGCGAU
RNAcentral lists this ribosomal RNA (508 nucleotides) under uncultured bacterium. RNAcentral's name for it is "bacterial SSU rRNA". It matches the Rfam family "Bacterial small subunit ribosomal RNA", at positions 338 to 861 of the family's 1533-position model. The record is from RNAcentral.